RNAcentral lists this ribosomal RNA (245 nucleotides) under uncultured Acidobacterium sp. Its description in RNAcentral is "partial 16S ribosomal RNA". It matches the Rfam family "Bacterial small subunit ribosomal RNA", at positions 524 to 768 of the family's 1533-position model. Lineage: Bacteria; Pseudomonadati; Acidobacteriota; Terriglobia; Terriglobales; Acidobacteriaceae. The record is from RNAcentral.
UACGGAGGGGGCGAGCGUUAUUCGGAAUUAUUGGGCGUAAAGGGCGCGUAGGCGGCUUUGUAAGUCAAAGGUGAAAUCCCUCGGCUCAACUGAGGAACUGCCUUUGAAACUGCAAGGCUUGAGGCCGGGAGGGGGUAGCGGAAUUCCCAAUGUAGCGGUGAAAUGCGUAGAUAUUGGGAGGAACACCAGUGGCGAAGGCGGCUACCUGGACCGGUUCUGACGCUGAGGCGCGAAAGCGUGGGUAG